CACGUAGGGUGCGAGCGUUUGUCCGGAAUUAUUGGGCGUAAAGAGCUCGUAGGCGGUGUGUCGCGUCGGCCGUGAAAACCUGCAGCUUAACUGUGGGCUUGCGGUCGAUACGGGCAUCACUGGAGUUCGGCAGGGGAGACUGGAAUUCCUGGUGUAGCGGUGAAAUGCGCAGAUAUCAGGAGGAACACCGGUGGCGAAGGCGCCACUCUGGGCCGGUACUGACGCUGAGGAGCGAAAGCGUGGGGAGCAAACAGG
RNAcentral lists this ribosomal RNA (255 nucleotides) under uncultured bacterium. RNAcentral describes it as "partial 16S ribosomal RNA". It matches the Rfam family "Bacterial small subunit ribosomal RNA", at positions 524 to 776 of the family's 1533-position model. The record is from RNAcentral.